This 486-nucleotide ribosomal RNA is filed under the name Pelomedusa subrufa. RNAcentral describes it as "partial 16S ribosomal RNA". It matches the Rfam family "Bacterial large subunit ribosomal RNA", at positions 1853 to 2556 of the family's 2925-position model. Lineage: Eukaryota; Metazoa; Chordata; Testudines; Pelomedusidae. The record is from RNAcentral.
UGAUGCCUGCCCAGUGACUUAUUAAACGGCCGCGGUAACAUGACCGCGCGAAGGUAGCAUAAUCACUUGUCUUUUAAAUAGAGACUAGAAUGAAUGGCUACACGAGGUUCUAUCUGUCUCUUACAAACAAUCAGUGAAAUUGAUCCCCCCGUGCAAAAGCGAGAAUACCCACAUAAGACGAGAAGACCCUGUGGAACUUCAAGUAUUAACCAAUAUAUUUCAACAUAUACCUCGAAAGAAAAUAAAGACACAGUAUUACCUGGCUAUUACUUUUGGUUGGGGUGACCUCGGAGUAAAACAAAACCUCCGAAAAGAGUAUUCUCAUACCUAGAAUUACACCUCAAAGUGCCCUAAAGCAAAGAGAUCCAAUAUAUUUGAUCAACGAACAAAGCUACCCCAGGGAUAACAGCGCAAUCCCCUCUUAAAGUCCUUAUUGAUGAUGGGGGUUUACGACCUCGAUGUUGGAUCAGGACAUCCUAAUGGUGC